RNAcentral lists this ribosomal RNA (254 nucleotides) under uncultured bacterium. RNAcentral's name for it is "partial 16S ribosomal RNA". It matches the Rfam family "Bacterial small subunit ribosomal RNA", at positions 524 to 776 of the family's 1533-position model. The record is from RNAcentral.
GACGUAGGGCGCGAGCGUUGUCCGGAUUUAUUGGGCGUAAAGAGCUCGUAGGCGGCUUGUCGCGUCGACUGUGAAAACCCGUGGCUCAACCAUGUGGUCUGCAGUCGAUACGGGCAGGCUAGAAUUCGGUAGGGGAGACUGGAAUUCCUGGUGUAGCGGUGAAAUGCGCAGAUAUCAGGAGGAACACCGGUGGCGAAGGCGGGUCUCUGGGCCAUUACUGACGCUGAGGAGCGAAAGCGUGGGGAGCGAACAGG